Molecule: long non-coding RNA, 600 nt
Filed under: Vulpes vulpes (red fox)
Lineage: Eukaryota; Metazoa; Chordata; Mammalia; Carnivora; Canidae
Description: lncRNA (ENSVVUG00000012300.1)
Source: RNAcentral
AGAGAAGUAACUUCUAAUGGCCUUCUACCAGCCGACCAGUGGAGUAGCUGGGUGCAGGCACAGUUUGGGGGUAAGGAGGUCAUCUCUUCUUCAAGAUGUCCAGAAGUAACCCAGAGGUGAAAGGAGGCCUAACUUUUCUAGUGUGGCAGGUACCCCUGAAAAUGAGUUAUAAUGUUCUAAAAAUCUUUGAAGAAAUUAGAAGUUGGGGUCAAGGAGCAGAAAUUAACUCCUCACUCCCUGAUUGCAUGUUCCUGAGCUCAGAAAUGCAGGGUGUUGCCACCUGGGUGGAGACUAUUGACAUUUUAGGAGAGCUUGACCUGUUGCCUCCUAGAGUUUUGGCAGCCAGGAAACUGCAGCUUGACACUCACACCGAAAGUUUUGAAGCUGGGAGGAUGCCUGAAGCACCCCUACACUAAAGAGGUAAAGAGAAGAGAAACCAUCAGAGAAGCAAACUACAAUUUGACAUUCUACAAUUUGACAAACAAGGGGGUUUAUGUUUCUUUGAGUCAGGUGAAUACCUGCAAGAUAGCUAGGCUGAAGUAUUAUGGAAGGUACUGCCCCUCCCUCAUCAAUAAAUUUAAACAAAGGAUACUUGCCUCA